UACUCUUGACAUCCAGUGAACUUAGCAGAGAUGCUUUGGUGCCUUCGGGAACACUGAGACAGGUGCUGCAUGGCUGUCGUCAGCUCGUGUUGUGAAAUGUUGGGUUAAGUCCCGUAACGAGCGCAACCCUUGUCCUUAGUUACCAUCAUUAAGUUGGGGACUCUAAGGAGACUGCCGGUGACAAACCGGAGGAAGGCGGGGACGACGUCAAGUCAUCAUGGCCCUUACGAGUAGGGCUACACACGUGCUACAAUGGCCAGUACAGAGGGUUGCAAUACCGCGAGGUGGAGCUAAUCCCACAAAGCUGGUCGUAGUCCGGAUUGGAGUCUGCAACUCGACUCCAUGAAGUCGGAAUCGCUAGUAAUCGUGAAUCAGAAUGUCACGGUGAAUACGUUCGCCGGGCCU
This 405-nucleotide ribosomal RNA is filed under the name uncultured bacterium. RNAcentral describes it as "bacterial SSU rRNA". It matches the Rfam family "Bacterial small subunit ribosomal RNA", at positions 976 to 1381 of the family's 1533-position model. The record is from RNAcentral.